Anguilla rostrata (American eel) is the source of this 2979-nucleotide long non-coding RNA. RefSeq lists it as uncharacterized. The transcript has 3 exons. The record is from RefSeq and is a predicted model, not a curated record. NCBI's taxonomy places the organism in Eukaryota, Metazoa, Chordata, Actinopteri, Anguilliformes, Anguillidae.
CUGCCUGUUCUCGAUAUAUUUUGAGAAACUGAAAACGUAUGUCAAAUUCAUAAGUUUAUAAAACAUACAAGCAAAAUUCCUUCUUGAUUAAGCAAAGGCUAUUAGCAGAACAUAUUAUGGCUUAUAGUUUAUAGGCCACCUAAACAUUAAAAAGUACGAUUUUUUCUGGGCGUAUUGCAAACCUCUGCUGCCACAUCACUGACAGUUCACUUCGUGCUCUUCCCUUGUUUCAUGGUGGGGAAGAAGCAUUAGCGUGUCUUAGCUGCGCUAAUGAGACUGGCCGAAGCGAGAACGUUUCCAUGAGCUGAACACUGCUUCGCCACUGAGAAAAAUACGGGCUGCUUAAAACGGCAGGAAUAAUGUGCUCAUUUCUCCCAAACACUCCAAUAACGUCACUCCCUCUCUGUCUUUUCUGGAGUUGACUGAGUUACUCGGUAAUCCUUAUUUUCCGUGGAAGCGAUGAUUGGCCGUGCGCGCACACGGCUCCUGCCCGUUUUCCACCUGCGUCGGUUUGAGCGUGCGAGAGGAUGACCGCGUAGACGGUUAUCCUGUUUCGAAUGGCUGCUUAUGGAUGUCGCUGCAGUCGCUGUGCAGAAAAGCUCGCCAGGUCAUGCAGUAGAGGCAGAAACUCUGGGGGUUUUCUAGACCAAGCUUGAUACGGCGCUGGAUGCUAUCUAGCUUGAAGAAAUCUUCCGCUCCGAGCCGCAUGCUGUUUCCCUCUCUCGCUGUGAGAGCCAUCCAUCCAUCUCUCCAUCCAUCUGUUUCCUCGUGCCACUCGGUCCAAGCGAGGGCGGCGGCGGCGGGGCACGCAGAGCGGCCCAGACGUCCCUCUCCACCGGGGGGUCCCCAGGGGGGGAGGCUUGCCGGAUGUCUGAGCCACCCCCCAAAUGACCCACGGCGUGAGCAGCCAUUUUUAUUAACCUUGUGUCACACACACACACAAACACACGCACACAAACAUGCACACACACGCACACAAACACACACCCACAUACAUGCACACACACACACACAAACACACACCCACACACACACCCACAAACAUGCACACACACCCACAGACAUGCACACACGCGCACACACACUCAUUCACACACCCACAUACACACGCACACACACACACUCACACACACACACACACACACCCACAAGCAUGCACACACACCCACACACCCACAGACACACACACACACACACACACACUCACCCACCUGAGCACACACACACACCAGGAGGUCUGUCCUUCUUCACAUUCUGGCGGGAAGGCGGUGGCUCUGCAGAUCUCUCAGGAGACCUGCCAGCAGAAAGCCGCCUUACCGCCAACCUCCCCCCAACCUUACCGCCAACCCCCCCCCCCCCACUGCCAUCUAUGCAUUCUUAUAAAUCUGUAUUUUAUUCAUCUCUGUAUUUUACUGAAGUGUCAAUGUGCAGUGCUUUCAUCUUUUUGUUUCCUUAUAUGAAAGGUGCUCUACAUAUCAAGCUGGCUAUUAUAUAAUAAUAAUAAUAAUAAUAAUAAUAAGUAGAAGAAGGAGUAUUAUUAUUAAUAGUAGUAGUAGUCAUAGUAGUAAUAGUAUCAGCAGUAGUAGUAGUAGUAGUAGUAGUAGCAGUAGCAGUAGUAUUUACUAUAGAUGCCAGUAAUUUACUGGUCAGCUGUGAAGUCGUCCAGUGUAGGAGAUACAGCUUAACUCGCAAUUCAAAAGUGUCAAGAAUUCGCCUCAUUGAGGUUAGAUUGAAUCUGGCUUUCUCGGCUAUGAGCGGCUUUUGUUUGCGUGUGUCAUCGUCAUCGCAGUGUUCGUCUCGCUGGCUGGAGCGGUGAGUCACGGUCCCGCUUCGUGCCAAUUUAAAUGGACGGGAGCGCGUCUCCUUCGAGGGGCGAAGUUCGAAUUCGCGCCGUGCGUGCGCUCUUACCGACGGCGGAAAACGUUUUCGGCGCGGCGACGGUCCCGAGGGGCUCCUCACGGCGUUCCGUCCAGUAAUUGGGUUUGAAAGUGAAGCGGCUAUUGCACCGCCGAGACGGGAACACGAAAAAAUAAAUAAAAAAUAAAUAAAUAAAUUAAAAAACUCGGGGAGCCAACGUACCAAUUUCGCCCGCCACAGAACGAAGCGAUCGCUGUGUGUGAGGUCGCAGUAACCAGCCGCGAAUCCUUACAUCGCUCCGCUAAAGAGGCCGGUAUCUUUCCAAUUACAGUCUGAGUACCACGUUCGAUCUGAGAUUCUUCUUCUUCUUCUUUUUACCGUACCACUGAGUCGAUGUCAGUCACUUUGCGACGCUGGUGCAGCAGCUGCCUUUAUUUGAACCACACUGCUGCUUUUUUUUUCUCAUGGAACGCUAACUGCACUUUGCUUUAGAAAUGUGUGGAGAAAAAAAGACAAUAGAUCGCGGUGAAAUGUCACGUUCUUAUCGGCUAUCUCAGCUGGUUAUCAGGUACUGCUUCAGGAAAACAACAGAAGAAAAUUCCGGACACAGUUUCUGAAAGCAAACUCUUUAGUUAACUGAAAGUUUAUUCAUAAACUCUUUAGUUUAUUCAUUUCAGUCGCAAUGAUUAUCAGGUUGGUACUGUUUACAGCUUUUCACAUGAAAAAUAUGAGUUUGUCAGGUGCUACAGUCGGCAGAUAUUUAUUCUGAAUGGAGUUGCCUGAUUUAUUAUAAAUGGGCCUUCGGUGCCAUCUGGAUGAUCUUGUAUUGCUGUUGUAUUCCUGACACUCAUUUCUUCCCGCUUGUGUCAGUUUCUCUGGAUAAGGGGGAAUGUGACGUAAUGUGCAACGCAUUAAAAGGGAAAAACAAAACAACGAAGCUCGCUUAAACCCUUUACUUGGAAUGAGGAGUGAUGGAAGGCUGCGUGCUUCGCUUCUGUGAAACGGGCGAAUUCGAACCCCCCCCCCCCGUUUGUGUGUAGAUUCCAGAAAGGAGUGCCUGUGUCCCGCCCCCAAAAACCUGUGUCUCCAACUGAUUUAUGUUCAUGCUAUUAAAUAUUACUG